CCUACGGGUGGCUGCAGUCGAGAAUCUUCCACAAUGCGCGAAAGCGUGAUGGAGCGAUGCCGCGUGCCGGAUGAAGGCCUUCGGGUUGUAAACGGCUGUCACCAGGGACGAAUACAUUGACGGUACCUGGAGAGGAAGCCACGGCUAACUACGUGCCAGCAGCCGCGGUAAUACGUAGGUGGCUAGCGUUGUUCGGAUUUAUUGGGCGUAAAGGGUUCGCAGGGGGCUGGAUAAGUCUGGUGUGAAAUCUCACGGCUCAACCGUGAAAGUGCAUUGGAAACUAUCGGGCUAGAGCAUCGGAGAGGAGAUUAGAAUUCCAGGUGUAGCGGUGGAAUGCGUAGAUAUCUGGAAGAAUACCAAGAGCGAAGGCAGAUCUCUGGACGAGUGCUGACCCUCAGGAACGAAAGCGUGGGGAGCAAACAGGAUUAGAUACCCGGGUAGUC
RNAcentral lists this ribosomal RNA (443 nucleotides) under uncultured bacterium. RNAcentral's name for it is "partial 16S ribosomal RNA". It matches the Rfam family "Bacterial small subunit ribosomal RNA", at positions 338 to 795 of the family's 1533-position model. The record is from RNAcentral.